ACAACAUUCCCCAAGACUUCCACAGACUCUAGCCAAAACUCACACGUGACAAAAUAUUAUGUUCAAAAGGAAACAACUCGGAGUCGCCACCUGACAAUGAUUUCAAUGUACCAGGUUACCGUUUUUUUUAAAAAAAAAAUCCUUUUAAAAAACUUUGGACCCCAAACUAAGUCUUCACCAGAGAUUCAGGUAAGGGGGUUCAUCUAACAUGGAGAAAAGGUGUUAAGCAUUCCCCUAAUCCUAUAACUAGUACAGUUGCAUACUUGAUCUAGUUGGCUUUCAAAACAUUCAAAUUGAGGUAAAAUAACAGAAAAGGAAAAUAAAUACAAAAGAGGCUCAAGGUUGUUCCUACCUAAAUGAAAGAAAAUUAUAAAUAGGAAAAUUAAAGUUCUAAAUUAUCCUACGCUACUUCUACGAUGUGCGCCCCAGCCUCCAAUUACAGAAUACUACGGGGAAUUCCCCAGAAUAAAAUAUGUGCAAAUCCUUCGGGACAUUUUCCAUAUAAUUUAACUAAAGUAACGACAUCUCGCCUUAAAACUAACAAUAAUCCUAAAGUAUUCCUACCCAAGUGUUGUCGACCUAAGUAUGCUACUAACGUUAAACGAAACUAGUAAUAACAAAAUAGAAUUAGAACAUGUCAUCUACUAUCUAGUUCUCUUAAACUUAAUUCUGUUCAAACUCUCGUGACCCAAUCCUACUUAUUCUAAAUUACUUCCCCCAUUAUUGUUUUCAUUAGAACUUGGCGACACCACACAUACAACAAGACAAGAGUCCAUAAGUUGUUACAAUUAAAGUUUCAACCAAAAAUCAACGUGGAAAAAUUAAAACUAAUCAUAGGCAAAUCAGAAAAGAAAAGAACAGAAGAUAGCAUGGACCUUCAGAGCUUUGAAUCGCAAAACAUAGUCAACCUUUACCGGAACCUCGAAUCGAAACUUGUUUUGGUGCAAGAACCAAGGUCGACGGCUUCAAAUCUAUUGUCAACUCUGCUUUGAAUUCUAACCUCUCGAAAAGCAGCGGACAAGGGAAUUAAGGGAGAUAGAAGUGAGCUUAAAGGACAAAAUUUGUUGUUAGAACCUAAAUCGUCGUUGCUGGAAUUUCAUAGGACUUAUAGUCAAUUGAUAGAGUUUCACAACACGUCUAUUCUCUUUCUUUUUUGCCCGUUCUCUGCUUUUGAAAUUCUCGUCCAGUUUUGAGCCAAAACUGAAGCCAAAAUCAAAUUCACUUUCCCUUAAAUUCUGUUCGUGGCCCUCUCCCCUGUUCCGUGUGUGUGUAUGUGUGUGUUUUCUAACUGUUAGGAAUAUGUAAAAAGGUGGUGCAGCUGACUUGUUAAGGAUCUGAAUGCUGGUGAAGGGAUGGGUGAACUCGCCGGCUUUAUUGAGUUUUUUCGACGAUUUUGUAUUUGGUGGAGUCGACGACGUUGUGGUGUGAGGCUAGAGAUGAGACAUGAGUGGAGGAAUUAAAGAAGAAAGGAACCAGUAGGUUCGCCAGGGUUUGGGUGUUGGAGACGGCUGUGUGAUGGUCUCUUAGAUCUAGGGUUCUGGCGGUUGGUUUUGUUGUGAAAAAGAAGAGCGAACAAUGGUGUUGGCCAGCAGUUUAGGGAUGCUGGCUAUGGAGGACAGCGGCGCUAGUUUAGGAUGUGGCGGCUGAGUUUGGUGGUGUGGAAGAAGGUAACGGCUUGGGGGUCUUUUUAGGAUUAGAGUUUUAGGUUGUAAUUGGG
This 1717-nucleotide long non-coding RNA is filed under the name Nicotiana benthamiana. RNAcentral describes it as "long non-coding RNA (NBEN_LNC037110)". Lineage: Eukaryota; Viridiplantae; Streptophyta; Magnoliopsida; Solanales; Solanaceae. The record is from RNAcentral.